This 107-nucleotide small nuclear RNA is filed under the name Urocitellus parryii (Arctic ground squirrel). Lineage: Eukaryota; Metazoa; Chordata; Mammalia; Rodentia; Sciuridae. The record is from RNAcentral.
GUGCUCACUUUGGCAGCACACAUACUAAAAUUGGAAUGAUACAGAGAAGAUUAGCAUGGCCCUGGUGCAAGGAUGACAUGCAAAUUUGUGAAGCAUUCCAUAUUUUU